UUACAAAACAUUCAGAAUUUUG
RNAcentral lists this microRNA (22 nucleotides) under Acyrthosiphon pisum (pea aphid). RNAcentral describes it as "api-miR-3037". Lineage: Eukaryota; Metazoa; Arthropoda; Insecta; Hemiptera; Aphididae. The record is from miRBase by way of RNAcentral.